RNAcentral lists this ribosomal RNA (774 nucleotides) under uncultured Neocallimastigales. RNAcentral's name for it is "partial large subunit ribosomal RNA". It matches the Rfam family "Eukaryotic large subunit ribosomal RNA", at positions 23 to 615 of the family's 3401-position model. Lineage: Eukaryota; Fungi; Neocallimastigomycota; Neocallimastigomycetes; Neocallimastigales. The record is from RNAcentral.
AGAGAUGUGUGAUGACGCAUAUCAAUAAGCGGAGGAAAAGAAACUAACAAGGAUUCCCCUAGUAACGGCGAGUGAAGCGGGAAGAGCUCAAAUUUGAAAUCUUCAAGGUUCUACCUUGACGAAUUGUAGUUUAUAGAAGUGUUUUCUGUUAGUGGAGUGGCAAAAGUUCUUUGGAAUAGGACAUCAUAGAGGGUGAGAAUCCCGUAUUUGGUCAUUCCUCCUAGCGUUGUGAUACACUUUCAACGAGUCGGAUUGUUUGGGAAUGCAGUCCAAAAUGGGUGAUAAAUUUCAUCUAAAGCUAAAUAUUGGCGAGAGACCGAUAGCGAACAAGUACCGUGAGGGAAAGAUGAAAAGAACUUUGAAAAGAGAGUUAAACAGUACGUGAAAUUGUCAAAAGGGAAGCGUUUGACACCAGUGUUGUUUUUCCGAAAAUCAAUUACGAAUGUUUUUAUUUUUGAGGAGUUAUGACUUCAUCGGCUUGCUCCUUUCUUUAUGAAACUUUCUUAAUGCACUUUUCGGUUAACAAGUCAACAUCAAUUUCUUUUGUUGUAAAAGGGUAUGAGGAAGGUGGCUUUCUUUUCGGAGAAAGUGUUUAUAGCCUUGUGCCUCUGCAAUCGGAGAGAUUGAGGUCUGCAGCGUAGAUCCUUCGGGGUUAGAUACUUUUGUGCUAAGUUAUAGCUUUUCAUAGACAACUUGUUGACUAUGUUUAGUCUUGUAGCUUACUCGCUUAUGCUAUUUUACCUACGCUUAGGAUGUUGAACUCUAUCACACACA